This is a long non-coding RNA of Hydra vulgaris (swiftwater hydra), 591 nucleotides long. RefSeq lists it as uncharacterized. NCBI's taxonomy places the organism in Eukaryota, Metazoa, Cnidaria, Hydrozoa, Anthoathecata, Hydridae. The record is from RefSeq and is a predicted model, not a curated record.
CAUAAUAUUUCAUUCUAUAAUUCAAUCAAUAUGAAAAAAAUAUAACGUAAAGAUAAUUGAUAAUAUUCAUUUAAUAAGAUACAAAAUGUCCUGGAAAACACAACAAAAUGUCCUGGAAUGUCCUGGAAUUUAACUUUUAAAAUUUUGUGACCACCAUGAUUAAUCAAUCAACAUGUUUAAAGCUUCUGGGCGCUAGAGACCAUAAAAAAAUAAAGUUAUAAAGCAGGAGUCAUUUUGGGACUCCGCAUCCCUGGUAUGUGUACUCCAAACUAUCUGCAACUGUGAUUAUAAAACUCCAUUCCAUAGAGUUUGUGAUGAUUAAUUUGCCAUCACAUAAAUGUAGCAAAUAUUAAUGAAGCUAUGUCAAUAAACAAAAUGUUGACACAAAAAUGCCAAAUCUCAAUUUAAACGGUUCAUCUAAAUGUGUUAAAACGGAUGCAAGCACUAAAGAAGACAACGUUACAAACUGAAGCAGAAAUUUAUAACGAAUCAUGUAGACGAUUGGAUAUGAAUCGCAGAAAAGCACCAUUGUCGAAUGGUUAUGAAUCAAAUCUUUGUAUUAUAAUUGCGUAAAUAUAUUUUAAAAUUUAA